CCGGGGGAUUCCUGAAUGCGCCUGCGCCCCUACAGUUUCAGUCUACAAGAUCCCGGCUCUCCUUUCCUCUCAUAUCGGAGCCUGCCCAUUGAAGAUCACACAGAGCCAUCCACCCAAGUACUUUUAUGACAUCAGAGCCAAAACUAGGUUUACAAUGAUAGCUACCUCCAAGAGUUUUGUUACCACUGAA
Molecule: non-coding RNA, 190 nt
Organism: Zootoca vivipara (common lizard)
Lineage: Eukaryota; Metazoa; Chordata; Lepidosauria; Squamata; Lacertidae
Source: RefSeq, a predicted model, not a curated record